CCUGCCCCUAGAGACAUUGCAGGUGUGGCUGCUGUGUCACCUGUGCAUCAGGAGGUGAAAGAGAGGAGAGAGGCUGUGUCUGUCCUCAGUGUUCUGACUGUCAACACCUAAAUGAUUAGUAGCCUAAAACU
This is a non-coding RNA of Arvicanthis niloticus (Nile rat), 131 nucleotides long. The record is from RefSeq and is a predicted model, not a curated record. Lineage: Eukaryota; Metazoa; Chordata; Mammalia; Rodentia; Muridae.